CGGCAAGCCUGAUGCAGCGACGCCGCGUGCGGGAUGACGGCUUCGGGUUGUAAACCGCUUUCAGCAGGGACGAAGCGACAGUGACGGUACCUGCAGAAGAAGCCCCGGCCAACUACGUGCCAGCAGCCGCGGUAAUACGUAGGGGGCGAGCGUUGUCCGGAUUUAUUGGGCGUAAAGAGCUCGUAGGUGGCUGUUCAAGUCGGGUGUGAAAUCCCAAGGCUCAACCUUGGGUCUGCAUUCGAUACUGGGUGGCUUGAGUCUGGUAGGGGGACCUGGAAUUCCUGGUGUAGCGGUGGAAUGCGCAGAUAUCAGGAGGAACACCGGUGGCGAAGGCGGGGUCCUGGGCCAGUACUGACGCUGAGGAGCGAAAGCGUGGGGAGCAAACAGGAUUAGAUACCCUGGUAGUCCACGCUGUAAACGAUGGGUGCUAGGUGUGGGGGGUUAUCGACUCCUUCCGUGCCGCAGCUAACGCAGUAAGCACCCCGCCUGGGGAGUACGGCCGCAAGGCUA
This 510-nucleotide ribosomal RNA is filed under the name uncultured Actinomycetes bacterium. RNAcentral describes it as "bacterial SSU rRNA". It matches the Rfam family "Bacterial small subunit ribosomal RNA", at positions 376 to 896 of the family's 1533-position model. The record is from RNAcentral. Lineage: Bacteria; Bacillati; Actinomycetota; Actinomycetes.